GACGAACGCUGGCGGCGUGCUUAACACAUGCCAGUCGAACGGAAAGGCCCUGCUUUUGUGGGGUGCUCGAGUGGCGAACGGGUGAGUAACACGUGAGUAACCUGCCCUUGACUUUGGGAUAACUUCAGGAAACUGGGGCUAAUACCGGAUAGGAGCUCCUGCUGCAUGGUGGGGGUUGGAAAGUUUCGGCGGUUGGGGAUGGACUCGCGGCUUAUCAGCUUGUUGGUGGGGUAGUGGCUUACCAAGGCUUUGACGGGUAGCCGGCCUGAGAGGGUGACCGGCCACAUUGGGACUGAUACGGCCCAGACUCCUACGGGAGGCAGCAGUGGGGAAUAUUGCACAAUGGGCGGAAGCCUGAUGCAGCAACGCCGCGUGCGGGAUGACGGCCUUCGGGUUGUAAACCGCUUUCGCCUGUGACGAAGCGUGAGUGACGGUAAUGGGUAAAGAAGCACCGGCUAACUACGUG
This 466-nucleotide ribosomal RNA is filed under the name uncultured bacterium. RNAcentral's name for it is "partial 16S ribosomal RNA". It matches the Rfam family "Bacterial small subunit ribosomal RNA", at positions 28 to 507 of the family's 1533-position model. The record is from RNAcentral.